Molecule: transfer RNA, 60 nt
Filed under: Dipodomys ordii (Ord's kangaroo rat)
Lineage: Eukaryota; Metazoa; Chordata; Mammalia; Rodentia; Heteromyidae
Rfam family: tRNA
About the family: Transfer RNA (tRNA) molecules are approximately 80 nucleotides in length.
Source: Rfam by way of RNAcentral
GUAGCUCAGUGGUAGAGCACUUGCUUUGCAUGCAUAAGGCCCUGGGUUCGAUUCCUCAGC